CAUAAUACAGGCUUCGUCGGUGCCCACCGCCAUGGUGCGGGGGCCUAAGAGGGAAUCCGGAGCGAUCCGCUGAUCGUGACCGAGCUGCCCCCGCAACUGUAAACAGCGAGUCUGCCGCCACUGUGCCACUGGGAAACCGGGAAGGCCGCGCCAGAUGAUGACCUGUCAGCCAGGAGACCUGCCGACGACGCUAGUCGCGA
RNAcentral lists this non-coding RNA (200 nucleotides) under Pseudomonas sp. RNAcentral also lists the same sequence under 1 other name. The record is from RNAcentral. Lineage: Bacteria; Pseudomonadati; Pseudomonadota; Gammaproteobacteria; Pseudomonadales; Pseudomonadaceae.